This is a long non-coding RNA of Lepidothrix coronata (blue-crowned manakin), 1098 nucleotides long. RefSeq lists it as uncharacterized. NCBI's taxonomy places the organism in Eukaryota, Metazoa, Chordata, Aves, Passeriformes, Pipridae. The transcript has 6 exons. The record is from RefSeq and is a predicted model, not a curated record.
CUGCCAUUUUGCAGCAGGCCAUGGGCUCACUCUGCCAUUUUAGGACAGACCUCGGGUCACUGCCAUUUUGUGACAGGCUAUGGGCUCACUCCACCAUUUUGUGACAGGCCACAGAUAAGGAGACGUAUGAGCAAAGGACUGUAUCUUCACCAACUAUUAAUGUACAUUAUACAGAAGUCCUGAAAAAAAUACUUGUUGAUUUUCAGUGUGUUCCAUUCCUAGACUAACAACAGGUUUGUUUUGUCAUCUGGCUUUAAACCCAGUGAAUAUUCAUCAGUCAUGUUCAAGUAAAAUGGCUGGAGAAGGAGAGGAAAUGUGGCCCUGUGAGAAGAUGAAGAGUACCAAGCUGUGACUGCCGACAUACUUUGAAUGAAGAAAUUGCAAGUUGCUUAAAAGGAACAUUUUGGGAAAGUGAACUAUGUGAAAGCCUGCUUAGGAACCCCCUGCGUGAAAUGGCAGCAGAGAAGAACAAGAAGUGCCUGGUUUGUGUCAGGAGGAACAGGCUGUGCUGUUUCCAGUGCUCUCCUCAGCCUCCCACAGCCACAGAGUCCUUAACAGCAGUCAUUAAACUUCCUAACGUAGACCAGCAUGAGGCCUUGUACUGGGAGAUAGUCCUCGAAGUCCAACUAAAAUCUUUUUCCUCUUAGUCAUGGUCGUUCCUCAGAGCCACACAGUACCUUCAGAAAAUAUGAACAGAAGCAGAGUUGCUCUGCAAGGGAGGCAGUACUGCUGGAAGCAUUAACAGCUUUAAUGAGGAAAGCAGGGCAGGUUUGAGGGUUCGUAGUUGCUGCUCUGCACAGGUCCAGGUGAGAUGUACGCUGGCUUAAAUGGGCAUUUGGAGAAUUACUAAGGUAGGUGUGACAGCAGUGAACCAAAAUUGUUCAUUAUGGGGAGGGUAGGUGGAAGGAAAACCAGUUUAGAUGUGAUGUUACCAACACUUUUCCUUUAUUCCCAGAAAAAAAAGACCUGUCAGUGACUCUCUUCCGCAUUGUCUCCUGAGAUAGAAGACUUCCCAAGGUAUGAAGGUGUGUUUCCAGUGCUGUCACUGAGAUUUGUCCAUACAAUACUGCAACUGGUUCCUUAGUUCACCUUGAAGAA